Molecule: long non-coding RNA, 9642 nt
Organism: Peromyscus leucopus (white-footed mouse)
Lineage: Eukaryota; Metazoa; Chordata; Mammalia; Rodentia; Cricetidae
Exons: 3
Source: RefSeq, a predicted model, not a curated record
AGAAAUGGAGUUUAUUCUUCCUCUGAUCUCUCAUGGUCCUUUUCUACAUCUACACAGAAGGCCCUGACUUUGAAACCUGGCUUUCAUUCCUUGAGAUAUUUGCCAAGUGGACCCCUUCCAGCCUCUCUUUCUUUGUCUAUAGUGUGAUGAGGCAACAUCACAUCUUUCCAUGUCUACCAUAACUAGUUUUGGGGUUCUCAGGUUCAGGGCCCUGGCUUUCUGAAGGAAAAGACUUUAUGAAAAAAAGCUCACUGCUGAUCGGGUACCAUCAUGGACUCAGUCCACCACAUGCUUUGGAAAUGUGGUAUCUAUUGUAGGCACACACUUGGGGCUCUUCCCUUCCUGGUUUUUGGGAAGUCCUGUCCAGCUCUGCUCUCAAGUAAUAAUCUUGCUUCAUCAAAAGGAAGGAGAAGUGGUUUUCUGUCUUCCGGGACCCCAUCCCAUCAGCAGUUCCUGCCUCUGCUUCUUUCCUGGUGGCCCCACAUCUCUGUUUCCUACUGUCUUUUUUCUCUAACUUCCUUGGGUCUUAUCUUGGGACAUUGAGUUUUCUUUUCUUAUUCGAUUUUGACGUCUCCCACAUCCUUUCCCAACGACCAAGUCCAGGUACUAAAAGACCAGGUCUGACCAUGCUCCUCUUCAACUUAAAUGUAGCCAGGAACAACUCCCUGUCAGCUUCAGGAUUGUAACCACACCUCUUGAUAUACUGUUUAUGGCUUCCAUCAACAUCAUCCUAUCCAUGAAUCCAACCUGAUCACCUUUGACACCCCCACCACACCCCCAGUGUCAGGUGCUGGUCCUCAAAAUCAGGUUUCAUGUCUUGUGUUUUCAACUCCCAGUUUCUCUCUUUGACUUCUGUGGUUUGAUCCUGUCAUUUUGUGUUUAUGCUGAAGAAGUCUGUGUGCUCUGGUCUGAGUUCAACCUCACCUCCAUCCCACUCUGUGGCUGUCAACAUACUUCUCCCCUCUCUGCCAGCUUUUGGUCAGUAUUUGAACCAAUUUUUAGCCUCUCUGUGCCUUAAUGAUAAUCUUUUUUCCUCCUCCUUCUUCUAUUAAAAUUAUUUUGUGUUUUUGAGAUAGGGUCUCACUUUGAAGCCCAGGCUGGCUUCUUCCUCCAUUUCAGGAAUGCUUGAAUUACAAAUUUGAGCCUCCAUAUCAGAUCAAAGUCGUCUUAUGGAUAGCAUAAUUGGAUCUUGUUUUUAACCAUUCAGCUAGUCUUUAUUUGAUUGGACAAUUUAAUCUAUUUAUAUUUAAUGUAAUCACUGAUCGGUCAGGACUUAAUGUUGCAAUUCUGUUGUUUUCCUAGCUGCUUUGUGGUUUCAUUAAUCCCUUCCUACAGUCUUCUUUGUGAUUCUAUGAUAUGUAUUUAUUUGUGUGCUUUGCUUUUCUCUCUCUCUCUCUAAGGAUCUAACCACUGUGGAAUUUUUCUUUGUAUUUCCUGUGAAGUUUACACCAAGCAUCUUAUCAUAAAGUCUGUUUUAAGUUGAUGACAGCUUCAACUACAUACAGAAAAGCCACACUUCUUUCCCACUACAUGUUACGUUAUUAGUGUUAUGAUUUCUACUAUUGCAUAUCUACUAGCAAACAAAUAAUGCUAUAGUUAUGUUAUAUUUCAGUCUUGAAGACUGUGUCCUUGAAUUGAAAGUAACUUACAUACCACCAUUGCAGUAUUUUUCUGAACUUGACCAUUUCCUUGCUUUUAUUGUGAGUUCUGCAUGCAUGUGUCUUUGUGCUAUUAGUGAGUGCCCCUUUAUUUAAACUUGAAGGACUUCCUUUAAUGCUUCUUUUAAGACAAGCCUUGUGCUGUACAGCCCCCUCAUCUAUUCUCUGUCUAGGAAUGCUUUUCUGUGCCCUCCAUCUCUGAAAGAUAGCUUUCAGGUAUUUGAUUGACAGUUAUUCUUUCAGUACUUUGAAUAUAUCGUCCCACUCUCUUUUAAUUUUCAGGAUUUCUGCUGAUAAAUCUGCAGAUGUUCUUAUGACAGUUCACCUGUAUAUAACAAGUUAGCUUUCUCUUACUGCUGUCAGACUUCUAUGUCUUUGGCUUCUGAGAAUUUGAUUAUAAUGUGUCUCAGUAGAGAUGUCUUCACAAUAACCAGAUUGGGGUUCUCUGGGACUCAGCUUGAUGUUUAUUUCCUUUUCCAGCUAUGAAAUGUUUUCUAUGAGUCUUUUUCUCUUUCAACAAGCUGUUAUCAGCCCCUUCUAUCUUUUACUUGAUGGUGUACUAGAAGGUUUUUGUAUUUUACUCUUUUAUUGUUUUGUUCCCAGCUAAUUUAAAAUGACCCGUCUGAGCUUGCUGAUUCCUUUUUUUAGUUAGUCAAGUCUGCUGUAGAAGCUACCUAUGAAAUUUUUAGUUUGGUCAUUGUAAAUUGGUGUCAAAAUUUCUGUUUUGUUCUUUUUUUUUUAAUGGUUUUUGUCUUUGUUUACUUUUGUUCAUGUGCUAUUUUCUGAUAUCAUGCAGUAAUAUAUCUAUAUUGUUUUAUGCUUCACAGAACUUCUUCAAGACAGUUAUUUUGGGUUCUUCAGGCAAUUCAUGAAUAUCCAAUUCCUUGCGAUUUGUUUCUUUAAUGGUCUCUCUGACUGUUCAUGAUCCUGUGGUCUUAUGUUGAUAUGAGUCCAUUUGAAGAAGUAAGCACACUUACAUUCUUCAUAGAUUAGCUAUAGCAAAGCAAGUCAUCCGCCGGUCAGCUCACCCACAUCCAGAGUUUGGGUGGGCUGACUGAUAAAGUCUCUGAGUAGGAUUACUGCUGGAACCGUGAAUAUGAUAGGAUGCCCUGGUGCCUAGAUCAUUGGGUAGGUGGGCCUGUGUCUUGAGUUUGUAGGGGCCAUGCUAGAGCCUGGAGUCAUUUGGAUAAGCCCAGAGCUUAGGUCUCUGUGCCUAAGCCCAAUGUCUGGGGUCAGUGGGUGGAGUCUAAGACCUGGAUCCAUGAGUGUAAACUAAAUUCUGAGUCUGUGAGGGUUUAUUCUCUACUGAACUUCACCAGGGGUUUUUCAUUGACUGUAACCUAAAGCCUAGAUUUGUAGAACUUGGCCUGAGAGUGGAAUUCAUUAGGGUAGGCCUGAGGUUGGAGUCUGUGUCAAACACAAUGUUCCUUACUCUCUUUCCUCCAAAUGAAGGGCAACUCUUUCCAGAGUCAUGAGGAGGAAGGCUGAUGUGGGACAGUAUAGAGCUAUCUCUCAUACCAUUUAAAAUAUGUCUUCUUUUUUUUUUUUUUCCUGUUCCACCCAGAUGCUGCAACCUUUCUCUUGGGUUCCUUAGCCUUUUUGGUUAAAUGUUGUUCAAAUUCAUCUUCCUGUGAUGAACAGACGCUGAAAUUCCUAUUCUUCAUCUUGAUGAUGCCAUUUUUGUCUUCACAGCAUCAUCUACAAGGAUAUAGUCAUUUGCUUUUGUUUCAUUCCUGUCUUCCUCCAUUACAUUUCAACUUUGGAAAGGAUAAAGUCAAUUUUGACUACUGCAGUCAUAGCAACAAAACACAACACAACAGCACUGUUUCCAUACUAUGUUCUGGGCACUAUUGUAAAUUCUUUAUUUUCACCGAAGUAUUUUAUCCUCAUAAGACUGUUGAGUAUUGUUACUAUUGCCAUAUUUAUUUUACAGAUGAACAAACUUAGCAAGAGAGGUUAACUGCUGUAUUCCAUCUUCCAGUCUAGAUGGGAAAUGGUAAAAGUAAGCUUCAGAUGCUCAAGAUGACUCCAGGAUGCUUACUCUUAAGCCCUCAACUAUGUUUUUGUGACUUCUCAGCAGCAGCUACUUUGCAAGCAGCUAAUACAGGAAUCAAAGGGCCCUCUCUCUUUCAGUCUCCGCACUGGAUGCAGAGUUGGAGCCUGGUAAAAUAUACGGAACCAGAGUUUGGGAAUCCAGCCAUCCUGGGUUCUUUAGCUGGUGACUGUAAGCAAACUAACUUCACCUAGCAUUGGCCAACAUGGCAACAAAUGCUACUUAUCCUGCACAGGAUGUUUGUGAGCUGAAUUGAAGGGUUACGGUAUGUGAGCAAAGAAUGCCAAUUGCCCUUUUGGAGUUCUCAUUUUUAAGUAAAAUGAUACCACAUCCUUCACUGAAUCAAAAGAAGACUACCUGGGGUAGGAUGGCCUUCACUCAGAUUGACAGGGAACAGGAAUAAGGUCCAGUUGCUGUAGGACUCACAGGGGAUUCCCUGCCCUCUGGUUCAGGCUUAGGACUUAAGUCACAUUAACCACUGACUUUGUUUGUAGGACCAAGUAUGUAUAGACUUGGGGGAUCCCUGACCCCACCCCCAGUAUUUAAGGUCUCUGGGUAGUUUUGGUUCUGGGACUGUUCUCCAGACACUGGCUGCUUUCUCCUGUGGAGCCACUGCUGCCUCCUGCCCCUGGCUUUCCCGCCCUGUCAGCCUUCUAUGGAGGCCCCAGAUGUGUUUUUUGAUCUCUUCCAGGAAAUCCAACUAGGUGCUCUGAAAUACUGUUUCUCAGUAAUGCUUCUUUCUGAGGAUUACUUCACUCUCGUCUUCAUUUCUUUCUACAUCUGCUCGCCAGUGCUCAGGGACAGCUCUGCUUCUCCCCAUAACUCUCAUUUUCUUCCUCAACUUUUCCUCACCGCCUUACCUCAUUCUGGUCUCCGGCUGUCAAAGGAACAGACGUGCUGGCCUCUUAUAAAGCAGCCUCCCUUAGCAGCAGAUUCAGUCCCCGAAGAUGGGGAAGAAGGACAUUUGGCCUUGUGACAGCCAUGGAUAGCUGACUCAGCCUGGGUGCUGGACUUGCUGUACAAUCAUCCCUGGAAAGCCACAGAACCUUCUUGGCCCCAGGCCUGGAAGAGAGAAUGUGGCCUCACUGAAAGCAACAGCUCAAGCUGGCUGCCUUUCCAUUGGUUUGCUCUCUCUUGGAGUGUUGUUCCUUUGCUUCUGAGAAUCUUUGCAGCCCAGAGCAAUGCACCCUGCCCAGACACAAUAACGUUUAGUGUCAUACAGACUUAACUGUACUCACCAGCAGAUGUAAGUUCUUAAACAUCAUUCUAAAGCUACCUACUUGCUUCUGUCUUAGUUUCUUCGUCUAUUGCAUUGAUGAAAAUGCUCGGGCACAACUCAUUUACUAGACAGAGGGUUUAUUUAAAUCACAGUUCAGGGUCACAGUCCAUGAAAGGAUGGAAUCCCAGCAAUGAGAGCUUGAGGCAUCAACUGACCAUAUGGCAUCUACUGUCAAGAAAUAGGGAGUGGUGAAUGCUUCAUGUAGCUUGCAUUCUCUCCUAUUCAGUCCUGGAUUCUGACCCAUAGUAACUGUGCCACCCACAAUAGAUGGAUCACCACGCCACAAUUAAUCUAAUCAAGUUAAUUCACUACAGGUAUGCCCGGAGCCUAUUUUCUUGGUGAUUCCAGGUCUUGUGAAGUUGACCAUUAAGACUGACCAUCGGAAGUUCCGGUCCUAGCUCCCUUGUGUACUAGUGGUAUGAUUUGGGGGAAAUUCUGAGUGAUUCUGUUCUGUUUUCCUCAUCCGUAACAAUAGGAUGUUGAUUGUCUUUGGUAGCUUGAACUACUUGUUACAAUUCUGUAACCCUCCCUUAGAAAACUAUGCAUUCACCCCUUUGCCAUGAUCACAUAGCACAUUUGGAUAGAACGGACUUUUAUUCCUGGACUUUGGACUUGGCCAUGUGACUUCUUGUGCUCUCUGGGAAGUUCUUGGUCUUAUCACCCAAGUGGAGAAUGGAAUGUGUGGAAAUUUGCUCUUGUAACUCUCAUGAUCCUGGUAACACUGUUCCUUUGGUGAUGGGAGUGUGAUAUAGAUGCAGAAUCAUGUUCCCACAAGCACUGCUUACAUCAGCCAACACCUAGCUGACCAGCUGACAGGAGAGUGAAGAAUAAGCUCUUGUUAUCUAUCAUAUGCCCUUGAAUGUCUUGUUCCCCUCUUCCCACCUCCCUAGUGCUGGGAUUACACAUGUGUACCACUAUGCUCAGUUAUUUGGUUCUGGGGAUUAAGCUCAGGGCUCUAUGCAUGAUGCUCUACCAACUGAUUCACCCUGCUCCCAGCACUUCACUCUUUCUUUUAUUUGAAAGCCCUUCUGAUGGUAACUUGGACCACCAAAAUAAUCUAGAAUCAUCUAUUUAUUUAAAAUUAAUCAGCAACUCCAAUUCAAUUUGCAGCCUCAAUUCCCUUCUUGGGAUUGAGGCUUGAGGGAUUGGAGCAUGGGCAUUGUUACAGGCCAUCAGUUUAUCUACUACAGCCCACAUUAGACACACACAGUACUAUAUUUCUAUUGAUCCAUACUGGUAUUAUAAACCCUAGUAUGUUAUCUGUGACAGGAAAAUGAGGUGGCCUGUCCUCUGACGUUGGCACCACCUCCUCUUUCAGAGGGGUUUGUUUUCUGAAAAUGGUGCUGUCCCUUGCUGGUGGACUACCAGCAGUGGGUUUAUGAGAUAGAACAAAGUAGUGUAAGAUUCUUAGAUGCCUUAAUACAGAGCUGAGACUCUUCUGAUUGAUGAUAAUUGUCCUGAGUAAUAGUUGUGAUGGGUGUCUUGCUGUUCCUAUCUCCCUUGGUAGGUAAAACUGUACCAGUCUGCCUAACUCCCUUGGGAGGUAGACUGAUUGAGCCAACUCAGAGGGGCCACAGGACAAGGCUAGGACAGCCCACUUCUAUCUCCCCAAGCCAAUCUGACUCUGUCCUUGCAGCCACAGGACCCUCAGAUCUCCCCACACACAAUGCAUUACAGGGAAAAAGAAACUUCCUGGCCUGACUGAUACCAAUUUGAAGGAAAUAGCUGGCUUUCAUGGGGCAAUGAAACAAAAUCCAGCAAGAGUGAUAACCUUUUGCUGGUCUGAGUUUUGCUGAGUAGCUAGCUGAAGCAUGACUACAGAAGACAUUGAGAUUUGGGGCAAGGAUGUGAAUUCUGGGGUGCUGUGUUAGCCAUUCACGAGUGAAGAAAGGGGGAGGAGAGCCAGGAUCUAGGGAUUCCUAGACUUGUGAGGUCCCAUCACAGGCUUACUGCAUUGCGACUAGAAAGUAGAUCUGUACUUCUGGGUUCUGGUAGCUGCCUUACCUGUUUAGCUGGCCUUUGCCAUUGACCAGUAAAUGACCUUAAGCUAAGUUCUCAUUUCUUCCAUGCCUGGGGCUCCCUACCUGAGAUAUGGGGUUAUGCUAGCAUUAACUGAAAAAGAUGUGAGUGUGUGUGUGUAUUUGUGUGUGAGUGUGUGCACAUGCACAUGUGUGCAGAUAGUCAGAUACACAUGUGUAUCAUAUGUGUAUAUUUAUUGUGUUUACUGUAUAGUUCAUAAGGUUAUUUCUCUGUUUAUGAUAUACUCACAGCCUGAAGAGAAGUCUCAUUAUGCCUUACUGUGGGCUCAUCCCAGUGUUCUUUAAGAAAAUUUUCUGAUUGGGGAUGUGCUCAGUAGAGUCUUGAAUGGUGGUUUCCUGAGACUACCUACCACCCAGUAGCCACAUAAGAGACUCCCAAGCCUGCCUUUGUGAAAGUGUCUGAAAAAGAUCACAACCUAUACCAUACAAGUUCCUCCUGUGUCCAAUCUAGGCCCUUAAUAACUGAAAUCAAAUGUAGACUCUAAUAUUUCACAGUUCAGAGGGAUUUUGGUGGGAAUUCAUUCCAUGCCACUUCUCUCCUGGUGGCCUGAGAUCCCUGCCCCUGCACCUAUUCAUUUUCCUCCACAGGAAAAUCUGAUAUACUCUGUCCAUGUGUAGACAGGAGCUCGCUGGGUACAGGAUGCCGACAUUUCUUGUUUGGUCAGUCUACCCUGCUUUCCUUCAUCCUUGUAAGAGUCAAACAUCCUCACCUUGCCCUUCCGGCUAAGGGUAGUGAGACCACCAAGGCCCCUCUGUUCAGAAUGGGCCUCUUCCCCCAUGGCACAGCUUCUCAAUGUUUUGUAAUUUCCCCAUGGCAUUCCCAGAAGAACAAGCUGGCCUUCCUCUGACUGUUUAUUGAGCAGAUUAUCUACUGCUGUCCCUGCUGCUGUGGAGGGAUGCUAUUGAUCCUGAAGCCAGGAACCAGCAAAUAACUUUCAAAAGGGCACAGAGCUGGACUGACACUCUAGCCCGCCCCAACACCUUUCCUCUCUACUGCUCCAGGGGCUGGAACGAUAAAGCCACAGAGGCCCUAAAGACUUCUCACUCAUGUGUGUGAACAAAACGCUGCAGAGAAAUUGUUUCCAAUUUAAAAUGUACAGUUCAGCCUUGGGGUUAUAAACAAGAGCCAGAAAGUCAUAAGCUGCCUUGGUGCAGUCAGCAUCCAGAAGCACAUGAAGUGGCCUGUGCUCUCCCUUCAAGGUGUGGGGACCUGAAAACCUGCUGCUCGGUAUUUCUCUGUACCACACUCCAUGUUGUAAACAUGUUUUCUACCCUGCAUUUUAGUAUCCAUCACAAUUUAAAUUCCUUCUUGGUAGCCUUUCAGAAAGGGGUUGGGAUCUAGAUACUAAAUCCUCCUGUCUUGUGGAUGGGGAAGGAUACAGUUGGCAGGAUGAUUUUUGAACUCAAGUUUACUCUCACAGCUCCUGUAACAGGUUACCCCCUCCCACCUUCCAACUUGUGUUAAAGAAAAUCUUCUGCCCAGCUGCAAAUCAAUUCCCUAGUCUCCUUAAGUAUGAUGGGAGUCCCCCUAUUUAGUAUGAUGGGUAGACAAGGGUAUGGAAACCUAAUCCACACUCAAGUCAUAGGGUAAGACCGCACAGCUCCUUGAGAUCUGGUGGUCCCCUCUCCAUGUGAGUACCUUAUAAAUGCAGCAUCUGUACUCUUGGGUGGAUGAUGUUUUGCCUGAUGAGCCUUUCUUCCAAAUCAGGAAUGUUUCUGUCCCAUCUGCCAGGAUUCUUCAGUGUGUAACCAGACUUGCAAUGCAUCCUUUAGAAAGAUACAUAGACAAGUAAAUUAAUACAGAACAAUCCCCACUUACCAGUCAAACCACAUGUACCUGUUACUUUAUACUGUCUUGACACAACCUAGAGUCACCUUGGAAGAGGGAGCCAGAUCAGAUUAGUCUGUGACAAUCUUAAGACAAGAGAAAUUGUCUUGAUCAAUGACUGACAUGGGAGGGCACAUGGUCCCUGGGUAGGUGGCCUGGGUUGUAUAGGAAAGCCAACUGAGCAGUAUUCUUCUACAGUUUCUCCUUUAGAUUCCUGCCUUGGCUUCCCUUGAUGAUGGACUGUAACCUAUAAAAUGAAAUAAAUCAUUUCCUCCUAGAAGUUGCUUUGGGUCGUGUUUUAUCACAGCAACAGAUGACAAACAAGAGUACCACUUUAAGAGCACUGAAUACCCGGAGAGCAGUUUGCCCUCUUUGGAUGAAACACAUCUACUUAGAGAUGCCAAGUAACUCAACAGAAGUCACACAGCUGCUAAAUAGCAAAGACGGAAGUCUUCAGGCUGGAGGCAAUUCUAUAAGACAGUUGAGCCCUCCAGAGCUAGUGGGAGACUGAUGGACUUACACAGGAGAUAGAUCCAGCCAUGAUAUUGUCUUGAAGAGAAUGAUACAUUCUUUCCAGAAGACAUAGAAGAUUCCUGAAACUGGGAAAUGUGCCUGGAAAUGUGGAGAAGAGAGAAGAGAGCACCCCCCCUCCCCUGCCUGGGCAUCUCCUACUAUACUCAAUACUUUCAACCGGGGUCACGGCUGAGCUCUCCUCUUUCAAUCUGGGUUUGAUGGAAUAUUAGUCUGGAAACGUUACUUUCAAUUAAACUCACUUGUUGAACCGC